GUGGGGAAUAUUGGACAAUGGGCGAAAGCCUGAUCCAGCCAUGCCGCGUGUGUGAAGAAGGUCUUCGGAUUGUAAAGCACUUUAAGUUGGGAGGAAGGGCAGUAAGUUAAUACCUUGCUGUUUUGACGUUACCGACAGAAUAAGCACCGGCUAACUUCGUGUCAGCAGCCGCGGUAAUACGAAGGGUGCAAGCGUUAAUCGGAAUUACUGGGCGUAAAGCGCGCGUAGGUGGUUUUGUAAGUUGGAGGUGAAAUCCCCGGGCUCAACCUGGGAACUGCCUCCAAAACUGCAUGACUAGAGUACGGUAGAGGGUAGUGGAAUUUCCUGUGUAGCGGUGAAAUGCGUAGAUAUAGGAAGGAACACCAGUGGCGAAGGCGACUACCUGGACUGAUACUGGCACUGAGGUGCGAAAGCGUGGGGAGCAAACAGGAUUAGAAACCCUUGUAGUCC
Molecule: ribosomal RNA, 450 nt
Filed under: uncultured bacterium
Lineage: Bacteria
Description: partial 16S ribosomal RNA
Rfam family: Bacterial small subunit ribosomal RNA
Source: RNAcentral